Vespula vulgaris is the source of this 757-nucleotide long non-coding RNA. RefSeq lists it as uncharacterized. The record is from RefSeq and is a predicted model, not a curated record. The transcript is spliced from 4 exons. Lineage: Eukaryota; Metazoa; Arthropoda; Insecta; Hymenoptera; Vespidae.
AGAAGAAGAAGAAGAAGAAGAAGAAGAAGAAGACGACGAGGAUGAGGAGGAGGAGGAGGAGGAGGAUGAAGAGGAUGAGGAGGCUGAGGAUGAAACUUUAGAAUUCUUCGCGAGGACGACACUUGGCAAUGGACGUUCGAUGUUUAUUUCUUGAACGAAACUCACCGUUGUCCUUGUACCACGUGUUCGAAGCUCUAGGCGAAGAUUCGACGUAACAUUGCAGAAUGACGUUGCUAUUCGUUGGAGCAGCUACCAAUUGAUUCGUCACUUUGAUCAAGGGCUUAACUGAAUAAUUCCAGACUCGAAGGAUCUCGAGAGUUGUGAGAGCUGUGAAAGUAAACUUUGAACUUAGCGGAAGAUAGCAUUAAAAAAAAAAAAAAGAAAAAAAAGAAAAAAAGAGAAAGCAAGAGAAGAAAAGGAAAAAAAGAAAGAAAGAAAGAGAGAAAGAAAGAGAAAAGUAAAAAAGAAAAAAAAUAGAGAGAGAGGGAAGAGGGAAAAGGAAAAAAAAAUAUUUUAAACGGAGGCGGAGUUCCAUUCGUAGAAAGUAGCAGCAACCAGGAGUGCAUUCACAGAAAGCUCGAAGAGUCUUAAACGUUGGAGCUUAACCAAAGGUUCUUCGUGUACUCGCACUUGAAGGGUAGAACGUGGUCCGCAUUUCCAAACGUUACCAUCUUUGUCGAGUAUACUAGCACUUGCAGUUACUUGAUAUUGACCACCACCGGUGGUCGAAUUGCCGGUAUUAGUCGAUGUACUCGCA